UACGUAGGGCGCAAGCGUUGUCCGGAAUUAUUGGGCGUAAAGAGCUCGUAGGUGGUCUGUUACGUCUGCUGUGAAAACCCAGGGCUUAACCCUGGGCCUGCAGUGGAUACGGGCAGACUAGAGGUAGGUAGGGGAGAAUGGAAUUCCCGGUGUAGCGGUGAAAUGCGCAGAUAUCAGGAGGAACACCGGUGGCGAAGGCGGGUCUCUGGGCAGUAACUGACGCUGAGGAGCGAAAGCGUGGGGAGCGAACAGG
RNAcentral lists this ribosomal RNA (253 nucleotides) under uncultured bacterium. RNAcentral describes it as "partial 16S ribosomal RNA". It matches the Rfam family "Bacterial small subunit ribosomal RNA", at positions 524 to 776 of the family's 1533-position model. The record is from RNAcentral.